AAGGUCUCCGGUUGGUGACAGCGGAGGGAUCA
This 32-nucleotide ribosomal RNA is filed under the name Neurospora crassa. Its description in RNAcentral is "partial 18S ribosomal RNA". The record is from RNAcentral. Lineage: Eukaryota; Fungi; Ascomycota; Sordariomycetes; Sordariales; Sordariaceae.